GACGUAGGGCGCAAGCGUUAUCCGGAAUUAUUGGGCGUAAAGAGCUCGUAGGCGGUCUGUCGCGUCGGUCGUGAAAACUUGGGGCUUAACCCUGAGCUUGCGGUCGAUACGGGCAUGACUGGAGUUCGGUAGGGGAGACUGGAAUUCCUGGUGUAGCGGUGAAAUGCGCAGAUAUCAGGAGGAACACCGGUGGCGAAGGCGGGUCUCUGGGCCGAUACUGACGCUGAGGAGCGAAAGCGUGGGGAGCAAACAGG
This 254-nucleotide ribosomal RNA is filed under the name uncultured bacterium. RNAcentral describes it as "partial 16S ribosomal RNA". It matches the Rfam family "Bacterial small subunit ribosomal RNA", at positions 524 to 776 of the family's 1533-position model. The record is from RNAcentral.